GGCUGUGGCUCAGAGGUAAAGCGCUCGCCUACCAGGCGUGAGGCACUGGGUUCUAUCCUCAGCACCA
RNAcentral lists this transfer RNA (67 nucleotides) under Marmota monax (woodchuck). Its description in RNAcentral is "tRNA.Gly". The record is from RNAcentral. Lineage: Eukaryota; Metazoa; Chordata; Mammalia; Rodentia; Sciuridae.